Molecule: ribosomal RNA, 163 nt
Filed under: Haemanthus montanus
Lineage: Eukaryota; Viridiplantae; Streptophyta; Magnoliopsida; Asparagales; Amaryllidaceae
Description: 5.8S ribosomal RNA
Rfam family: 5.8S ribosomal RNA
About the family: 5.8S ribosomal RNA (5.8S rRNA) is a component of the large subunit of the eukaryotic ribosome. It is transcribed by RNA polymerase I as part of the 45S precursor that also contains 18S and 28S rRNA.
Source: RNAcentral
UUCACGACUCUCGGCAACGGAUAUCUUGGCUCUCGCAUCGAUGAAGAACGUAGCGAAAUGCGAUACUUGGUGUGAAUUGCAGAAUUCCAUGAACCAUCGAGUCUUUGAACGCAAGUUGUGCCGGAGGCUAUUUGGUCGAGGGCACGCCUGCCUGGGCGUCACG